Molecule: long non-coding RNA, 223 nt
Filed under: Prunus persica (peach)
Lineage: Eukaryota; Viridiplantae; Streptophyta; Magnoliopsida; Rosales; Rosaceae
Description: long non-coding RNA (PPER_LNC007941)
Source: RNAcentral
AAAUGUUGUGCUCUUAGUAUCUUCGACUCGGUGCUCUAGACACAUAGUUGAAAAUUAGCAACAUGUUCAGGCAAUGGAGGAUCCCUAGAAGCAGGUUGAUCAACUCCCUAUCCUCCCGCUUAUGCGGACUCAUGAACAACUUAGUCAUAGGAACAUCCAACUGUACCAUAAGUAUAGGUGUUACCCGAUGCAAAACCUUCGGCUUCUAUUCGCAAUCUUCCGG